Molecule: long non-coding RNA, 562 nt
Organism: Capsicum annuum
Lineage: Eukaryota; Viridiplantae; Streptophyta; Magnoliopsida; Solanales; Solanaceae
Exons: 2
Source: RefSeq, a predicted model, not a curated record
UGACUCCCACUCCCAACUUGACUCCCAACUUGACUCCCAAGACUCCCACUCCCAACACUCCCAUGACUCCCACUCCCAACUUGACUCCCAACUCUCCCACUCCCAACUUGACUCCCAAGACUCCCACUCCCAUGACUCCCACUCCCAACUUGACUCCCAACACUCCCAUGACUCCCACUCCCAACACUCCCUCUCCCAACUUGACUCCCAAUUCGGAGAAAGCCCAUUAUUAAGGCGGCUACGGCAAGGGGGCCUAUCAUAAAGGAUGUUAUCAUACAUGCAAAUAUCACCAUUGUUGCACCUAUGAAGAAUAUAUGGCCCUGGGAAAAGCCAAUUAAUCUGAGCCACAGAAUUAAUUAAUUAGUGCUUAAUUAUGCGUUGUAAUUGUAAUCCUUUGUAAUGUGAGUGGCAAGGCCAUAGUAAUCUUGCUAGUUUAAAACUUUUGCUUGUAUAAAUAAAGCCAUUCAGUAGUUCCUAUGGAUGGUGUUGGUCAUGGUCAUGUAAAGUUCUGUUGUAUGAUAUGUAUGAUAUUGUGUUAAAAAAAAUGUUGCACAGUGUUUAA